GCAGUAGGGAAUAUUGGUUAAUGGGCGAAAGCCUGAACCAGCAACGCCGCGUGCGCGAUAACGGCCUUCGGGUUGUAAAGCGCUUUUUGAAGGGAAGAGGAAGGACGGUACCUUCAGAAUAAGUCUCGGCUAACUACGUGCCAGCAGCCGCGGUAACACGUAGGAGACGAGCGUUAUCCGGAUUUACUGGGCGUAAAGCGCGUGCAGGCGGUUCAGCAAGUUGGAUGUGAAAGCUCCCGGCUUAACUGGGAGAGGUCGUUCAAGACUACUGGACUAGAGAGUGGUAGAGGGAGGUGGAAUUCCGGGUGUAGUGGUGAAAUGCGUAGAUAUCCGGAGGAACACCAGUGGCGAAAGCGGCCUCCUGGACCAUUUCUGACGCUCAGACGCGAAAGCUAGGGUAGCGAACGGGAUUAGAUACCCGGGUAGUCC
Molecule: ribosomal RNA, 429 nt
Filed under: uncultured Chloroflexota bacterium
Lineage: Bacteria; Bacillati; Chloroflexota
Description: bacterial SSU rRNA
Rfam family: Bacterial small subunit ribosomal RNA
Source: RNAcentral